CAGGAAUGUCUUCAUUGCUGUGAAUGGUUUACUGUACAGUUAGAUCCACGAGCUCUGAAUCAUUCUGGACAGAAACAGGAGGAGAGGAAAGGAGAAGCUCUAAUAGCCAUGCUGUGGGUUUCCAGAGCUUGCUGAAAGACAGUGCUCCCUGCAGAAGUGCUGCAGCAGGGCUGAGAGGUGAGGUACAAACCUUUUCUCAGUGGGGUCUGUUAACAAACCCUCCUCAUCCUGUUCCUCUGCUGAGGGACUAUGGCUCUGCAGCAGGCUGUGGUCCAGGAGAUGGAAGUUCACAGACUUGCCAGUAACAGGUCCUGGGCUGUACCUUCAAAAAAAAAUCCCAAAGCAUGCUGUGAAAUGUGCUCAAAUACCAGUCAGGGGUUGGUCAUCUUGAGCAUUACUCUGCAUUCUGCUUUUUCUUUCUUUCUCCUUUUUCUUACCCUACCUUUUCAGUAACAUCGAUUUUGUACAUCGCUCUCUCCAGUCAGAAACUGCCCUGAGGCAGUGAAAAGGCAAUUGGUAAAGCUUCCCAGAAUACGUUUUCUGAGCUGCCAGCAAUGUCAAGCAAAACUCCAGCAAUUAUGGCAUUGUCGUGCCACGGCUUUAGCACAAAUAUAAAGCAUUUUCUAUGAGACAAUUACAAAUCUACAUUACAGAGCCCUAUGCCCAGUUUUGUACAUCCAUCAAUUUGUAAUGGUAGGAAGUAAUAUUAACUUUUCACAGUUGGUAAGGAAAUACUUGAAAUAUUAAUAUUAAUUAGCAGCUGUUGAGUUCCCAUACUGAAUCUGCAGUUCUGAUUUCAGUGCAGGUAGCUUUCAGGCACAAAUUUCAGUCGGUGAUGGAGCUGGUGGCGCUGGCUGCUCUGGAGAUGGCUAGAUUUCCCUUUAUAGGACAGAGCAUUCAAUGCCAAAACCAAUUGCUGGGCUGAAAUAUUCCACAUUAAGUGUCUGACAUUGUGUCAGUUCUUGGGAAUCUACCCAUAAACUAGCAGCAUUCCCAAAAAAUUAAGCCAGAGUAAAGACGUUUUCAGCAGUGGCUUUCAGAAGGUCUGGCAAGCUUCAUUUGACAUGUGCUUAUUUUGCACAAGGUCAGAGGUGAGGCGGAGAGUUACAGUAUGGGUGAAACGUUCAGCAUCUUACCUGAGAGCUGGGUAGAGAGGAAAGGAGAUGGAGCUCGCAACUAAAUGCAGGAACAGGAACAGGGUGGCCUUAUCCAGCAUCUUCCACCCUUUGGAGUCACCUGGAACGUGGAGCAGUGACUCAGUGGCACAAGUUGCCCAGAGCAGCCUCCCCACCAGCCCGCAUCACUGGACAACAACCUCUAUCGUGCUCCCUGUGACCCCUCCUGCCCAGCUAUGCCCAGAGGAGCCCCCUCUCCACCAAUAUGAGACACCUGUGCAGCUCUCAGCACUUAGGUGAAAGCAGGAUGGACUGCACCACCAGUGUGUGCUGCACACAAACACUGCAGUGUUUUGCAUCCUGAGGCUGGCUGUGUGUCCAGCAUCCCCGACGGGCGGCUCAAAGCAAAGAAUCGCCCAAGGUUGCACAGCACCAGCAGGUGAACUCAAUGCUUUUGUUACUGGAAGCAAGAGAUGGUGGGAGAAUAUUUCUGUUAACAUCAUUCCUCGGUUUUGAUCAAAAGCAAUUGAUCUUUAGCUCAAAGAAGAUUCUUUAAGAAAGCAGAAUGUGGAUGGAGAUCUUUAAAACAUGAAGUUUCCUUGUUCAGCUGUGUUAUUUUACACAAGAAAAGGGCAGAAAGAUGUUUGAUCUCCAUAAAAGAGAAAAGCUCAUGUUUUUAGGGGGGAAGAAAAGAAACUUCCAAAUGUUUAACAAUACUUGCAACAAAAGCAGUUUCCAAGUGGAAAGGAUCUAAUUGGGUUUCUAAUUUCCCCAGUGAACCUUCCAAGCAGUGGAUUUUCUGGAUGAUGGUGGCAGGAAGCAGCUCUGAUGGAAAAUGUCAGCAGUGAGCACUGAUUCAUUGCACAGAUACAGCUGCCCACAUUCAGCUGAGUGCACACUGGACAGCAUGGGGAAGUUUCUCUACGCACUGGUGUGCUGUGUGUGUGUGCAAGGGAGCAUGCUGCUGAGAGAGUAACAGGAGGAGGGGGGGUGUGCUGAGUGGCAGCCAGUCGGCACAGAGGUGCACUAUGAAUUGGGGUUCCUUAGUGCAACCCUUCCUCGUUCUGGACCCUGUUCAGUAGUGCCAACAGCCCCGAUUUGAGCAGAGCUGGGUGCAGGAGGGCACCCUUCCUCCAAACCUGCUCUAAAGGAGGGCUUCACCCCUUGGAUGGCCAAGGAAUGCCCAGAAGCAGCGUAAGAGGUGACUGAGAAACACAGGACUCUUGCUCUGGAUUUCCAUUAGUUUUCUAUCUUUCACUUGAGCUUGGAAAAGCAUGUCCCUCUAGUGCCUCUCUCCCUUAAAUAGCUCAAAUUCCAAAUCAGAAUUACUGAUUACUCUAUAUGUGUUGGAGGGUACCAGGAGACCAUGGCACCAGCAUCUAAAGGACAUGCCAACCAGGAGAUGUAUUCAGUUCCAAGAAAAGCCACUAUGUGAGCUGAGAAGUGAAAUAUCGAUGUAAAUGAGAAGAAAGUCUCACACCAUGUUGUCCACUUCCCUUUUUUUCUUCCUAGGAUGCAGCCUUGACUGCCUGUGCUGGAUUUUCCCCCAGAGCCACUUUUUGUCCCUUUGAGAUUCUUUCUUCUUUCUCUGCUUUUCAUGUGAUUAUUUUGUUUUGUUUCACCUUUCUUCCCAUCUUGCUUUGCCUUUUCUCCCCUUGCUGCCAUCAGCCUCUCAUCCCUUCAGCUUUUUUGGGUAUGUCUGCCUCCUCUGGGAAGGAGCCUAAAGCCUUUCAGCCUCUCCUCACAAGUGCCUGCUGUUUCAGAAAAGAGGAUUUAAGCAUCACCCUGCACAUGGGCAGAUGACAGCUCUGCAAAGCUGUAACACCUUCACAUUCUCCCGAGCACCAUAUUUCAUUUGAAGGGGCUCACUGCCUCACAGCUGGCUCCGUGUUACUGGAACACGCUGUUGCAUUCCUGCUCACACUUCAUUUGGGCACAAACACAGCUUUGCUGAUUGGUGCGUAGCACACAGCUCCAGAUAAGCUGAGCAGCGUGCAAAGUGGUCCUAACUCACCUUGGGAGGCCGAACAUAAGGACAGUAAGAAGUAAC
Molecule: long non-coding RNA, 3165 nt
Organism: Tympanuchus pallidicinctus (lesser prairie-chicken)
Lineage: Eukaryota; Metazoa; Chordata; Aves; Galliformes; Phasianidae
Exons: 4
Source: RefSeq, a predicted model, not a curated record